CUCUGCCUUUUAGCCGUCAAGACUCUUCUUGCCCAAAUCUGAAGAUCUUUGGUGGAAGAGACAAAAAGUUGCUACAACUAUACCUUCCUUGCUCGUUUCUCACUCAAGUGUAAGUGUCGUGAAAAUAGUGCCUAAUCCAUUGGGCUUUCACGCUGUGUUUCUGAGGCUCUUCCGUGGGGCAGACAUAACUAAAAUGGAUGUCUACGACCAUUGCUAACUUCCUGCCUGGAUGGAAGUUGGCUCAGGAAUUCUAACAAGACAGAGCACUUAAUGGGUCUUUCAAACACAUAAUCAUUUUUGCUUGGUAGAAGAGCAAAUGGGUUUUGCCAUGAAGAUAGCAGCCAUGAAGACUGGUGUCAUGAACGAAAGGAUAUGCACAGCUUGACACGUGUUUCAUCACUUCAGAUGCUUUUAAGAGCUGCGUUAGUUGUUUUGUUUAAUAGAAUAAUGAUUACUAUUUGACUGUUUUAAUUGACUAGAAUAGUGCAUUGCUCAGAGGAGGUUUAUGAGAUACAAAUGCAUUGUAAGCAUUAUUAGUUAUUAAAAGAGAAGUAAAAUGUAAGAAUACCCGAAGGACUUGUUAUUCUGAUGCUGUUGUUUAGAUGGUAAGUUUUACCUUAAUUUUUAAAUAUUAAAGCUAGGUCUGGAGAGACAAUUCAAAUGUUAAGAGCACUUACUGCUUUUCCAGAGGACAUAAGUUCAGUUCCCAGCACCAUCAGACAGUUCACAACUGCCCAUACCUCCAGUUUCGGGAGAGCUGACG
Molecule: long non-coding RNA, 763 nt
Organism: Psammomys obesus (fat sand rat)
Lineage: Eukaryota; Metazoa; Chordata; Mammalia; Rodentia; Muridae
Exons: 4
Source: RefSeq, a predicted model, not a curated record